Long non-coding RNA from Mobula hypostoma (lesser devil ray), 444 nucleotides. RefSeq lists it as uncharacterized. Lineage: Eukaryota; Metazoa; Chordata; Chondrichthyes; Myliobatiformes; Myliobatidae. The record is from RefSeq and is a predicted model, not a curated record. The transcript has 3 exons.
AUGGGCUGAAGGGCUGUACUAUUCUAAGUUCUGUGUUCCGUGAAAGGUGCAUCUUGUCUACUGCCACAACAGGGCUUCUCCUUCUUCUUCAGCCCUACUGGCCCACUGGGCAUUGGCCGCUGACAGCAGCUGUGCCAAGAUGGGCCGAAAGGAAAACGGAGCUGGAAAAUGGGGCAAUAAUUUUAUUACUGUUUCAGAAGAAUACUCGUGGAUCGAAGUGACAUCAUCAGCUCCUGUGCCACUCUCCGUCAGGUCUUCCAGUCACAGCACAAUGUCGGCCGGUGGCGCAGUGACAUCAGCGCCGGACUCCGGAACGGAGGAUCCCGGGUUCAAAUCCAGUUGGUCUGCUCCCGAGUACGCUUUCCAUCCGUGCCGGGUUGAGUGUCGAGAUCACAACUCGACCUCGUAGAAUAAAAGAAAAAUACUGCGAAAUGUCUGUGUGAG